CUAUACUUGACACCACUCAUAUUUUCCUAGUAAUCCGUCCUUGGCUCUAGCACGGGCGCGCAAUAUAGCCACAUCUCGCGCCCUCCUCACACCGGCACCACACCUCGCCGACUACACAACCUCACGCACCACACUGGGUAUACGGGAACGGUGAGAGGGGCAAAACCUACACACAACGCCACUACCUUAGUGGCCUCGCCACUUGACUGGGAAAGCUUCUACUGGCCCUCCACUCCCA
Molecule: non-coding RNA, 238 nt
Organism: Pelobates cultripes (western spadefoot toad)
Lineage: Eukaryota; Metazoa; Chordata; Amphibia; Anura; Pelobatidae
Source: the annotation of a GenBank genome assembly